UCUUAAAGUAAAUUAUUUACAUUUAAUUUCGACUUAAAAUUUUGUUUAAAUUUCUAAACUAAGAA
This 65-nucleotide transfer RNA is filed under the name Pheidole nodus. RNAcentral's name for it is "tRNA-Arg". Lineage: Eukaryota; Metazoa; Arthropoda; Insecta; Hymenoptera; Formicidae. The record is from RNAcentral.